Molecule: non-coding RNA, 266 nt
Organism: Callorhinus ursinus (northern fur seal)
Lineage: Eukaryota; Metazoa; Chordata; Mammalia; Carnivora; Otariidae
Source: RefSeq, a predicted model, not a curated record
GUGCCCAAGGAUGGGGCAGUGUAUCAGGGAGCACCAGCGCUGGGCUGGCUACUGCUGGACAAACAGCCCGCCCCGGGGAGGGAAACACCGAGCCAGCCCAACAGGAUGAAGUAGAUGAUGGAAGCGAUUGCCCGGUACUCAAGGCUUGUUGCAGGAGGGAAUGAAUGCGAGAACAAAUAACUCAGUGCAGAAAAAGGUGAAAAAGGUCAGGAUGUAACCACACCUCCUCUUGGAAGCCCACCCUGAUUCUCAGAUGGACAAAGACC